AGAUGAGCUGACAGACCCUGGCUGAGCAGGAAGUGGCAGGGUCAGGAAAAGCUAGGCCACAAGUUUUCCCUUGAGAGCCUUAGGUGUCUUUGUGAAGCUUCCUAUCUUUGCUUUUCAACUAAGAUGAAACAGCAUUUAAAAGAAAAUGCCAUGUGAGAUGAGAUCAGGAGAAUGGAUUCUUUCUUUCAUCUGAAUAGAGAGCUGCUGUUCGAGAUUCUAACUCAAAUAGCUCAAAGGACACCUUCUCCGGGAAACCUUCCCUGACUUCCGACGCUGUUUCCUGUUAAAAUACACAAGAGAAAGAGGAAAUGGAUUUUUCCUUCAAUGAAGUUGAAGCUUCAUCAACUAACUGACCUGACACUGACCUUGAAAACCUCAUUGACACUACCCUCUGAUUCUGCCCCUCUGGGACUUGAGAGAAAAGGUUGGAGGGGCAUCCAGAGGAAGGCUUGCAGUGCCUGUCUUGACGAUAAACUCUAUGCUUCCAGUUGCAGGAAAGAAUACACAAGCUCAGAAUCUCUUGGGCUGAGUGACAAAGGAGGAAAAGGGAUGGUUCCAAGUAGGAUUGGAGCUUCUGCUUCCUCACUUCCUCACGUAGCUCCAUCUGCCUCUUCAGAGAGCUCCCAUCUCCCACUGUGUGCAGCUGAGUUCCAAGCACUCCUGGCGGCAUAAUGACUGGGACAAAGAUAUUUCCUGCAGUUGUCAAUGGUGCUCCUAUACUGAAACUCUCCUAGGAACUUGGCCAAAUCUUCCUGCUCCCCAUCCCUGAUUUCUGUGAACAAGAGGGAAGACUUUGUCACACUUCUCAUUGGUGAUCAUAUUAAUUUCUAGGCCAUGUGUAUCUAGAUAUGAAAUAAUAUUUCUGUUAUUUUAAAAUAUAA
This 881-nucleotide long non-coding RNA is filed under the name Homo sapiens (human). RNAcentral's name for it is "hepatocellular carcinoma up-regulated long non- coding RNA". Lineage: Eukaryota; Metazoa; Chordata; Mammalia; Primates; Hominidae. The record is from RNAcentral.